RNAcentral lists this long non-coding RNA (2106 nucleotides) under Gadus morhua (Atlantic cod). Its description in RNAcentral is "lncRNA (ENSGMOG00000029161.1)". Lineage: Eukaryota; Metazoa; Chordata; Actinopteri; Gadiformes; Gadidae. The record is from RNAcentral.
AAAGAGAUUGUAAAAGUAAAGGUUAACCUAAAUGUGUCUUUGAUGUUUUCGGUUGUGUAGAUUAGAAGUGAAGGAAGAAUGGCAAAAAGGCCAUGGUUAACAGAGCAAAGCCAUUACUCUCCACAAGAGAGGGAGAGGCAGGGCUUCCCCAAGGACCCAAGCUCUUUUCAGGCCAAGGAGAGGGAGAAGAACGACAUGGGAGAUGGGGUAACAGACCGUCCAGAUGAAACCAAACAUCCGGAAGAAUCUUUCUUUGUUACAAAGGAGGUUAAGAUGCAAGGUGAGAUGGCAGAGGGCAACAACAGGAACAACACAGUCAGGAACCUCCUCUAAGUACGUAAGAACACAACAUGAAGACAAUUAAAGGUGGGCCAUCAAUAACUUUUAUUCUCUAACAUAAGAGAGGACAUCAACUGCAGUUUCUGCGGAAAUAAUACAUAAAAGUUGCACAAUUUGCCUCAUUGGUCCGGGAAUUGUUUUCUCCAAUAGUCUGUUCGGAGAAAAAAUAUGUCAAUGAUCCAAUCUACCAAGGAUUUGCGAAAACAACACGAAUAUUAAGCAGUAUUAAGCAGAACAGAAUUAUAGAGAAUAACAUAAACAGAGUGCAACAGAGAGCUCACAGAAAAUAACUUCAGCCUGAAGUUAUUUUCUCAGUGAAUAACUUGAGGCUGAGGUUAUUCUCUCUCUGCCUAUUGUGUGUUUUGUUUCAACAGGCAGCGUCACAGACGACGGGCCGAUCCACAAGCAGGUGGACAGAGAAGAGGUGUCCCUCCUGAGUGGGACGUGUGGCAAAGACAAGACCCCCCGCGGCCAGACGGGGGAGGUCAGCACGUGCAUCGAGGAGGAAUAACCACUUCACUUUUAUCGAAUGUAUCAAGUGGGAUCAUUUUAUCAAUAUUCGAACUGAGCCUAUAUUAAGAACACUAUAUUUAUUGAGUACAACAAUUCUUCCUGUAUUGGAUAGAGAUUAAUGCUCAACGAUUAUUGAAUGGAAUAGUACUCAGCAUUGGGGCGUUGUACAUCGUGAUGUCACAUCACAAUAAGCACCUCCAUUUUCACCGUACUACAACCCUCUUCAUUCCUCUCAAUGGGACAAAGUUUCUUGAACAAAAAUCCAAUGAUGCAUUCCGAUGUAAAAUCCCUGUAGACUAUAAAGCCCAUUCUCCAGUCUUAGUGUGUGUUUACUCUUUCUGUGCUGCAUUUCCAGCGAAUCCAUAAGCUAUCGUUAUUUUCCAUCUGAAGUUAGAAAAGGAAACACUUCAACCCAGUGUUCAACGGCAGGCAUCCCUGUCUAUUAGCACAACACAAGUAAUGACGUGUUUUCAUUCAUUGACAACCAAAUAACACAUCAUUAUGGGCAUGUUUCACCCAUGUGUUGCAGGUCCGCAAACCUCCAUUGCCAACUUCUCUUUUGCUGUGGCUUUAUGUCAUGCCCUUGUCGUAAAGCAGACCGAACUACCCAAUAAAAACAUGUUCCAUGAAGUCGUUUGAGUGCAAACCUCUAACUCUGUGGUCUCGCCUGUGUAAUUAAGCAAGGAAGCCUUUCCUAUUGACACCUCUGGUUUCCACACUGUGUUCCCUCCCUGGCCUUUGACUUCACGGCUCUCGUUCCCACAUGAUUGUAAUUAUGGAUCCACUGCGUGGACGACAGAUGUGGAAUGCUCCUCUUAGCCCAGGUGGUAUAAAUCAAUGUGUAUUCUGAACGCAAACCCAGCCUUUCAACAUCAUGGCAUCUGUGAAUGACGCUUUGAAUAUGAAAUACUUUAUUGCGUGUUGGGGCCUCCUAAGGUAGAAGUGAAUAACAAGUUGGCUGCAUUAUCUCCGUCUUUUGUUAUGCAUGAAGAAAACAAUAGCUCUUCCUUCACAGGAAUAAUAAAGUGUUAUCUUAUCUGAAGAGUAGUCUUUUGUAUAUGAAAGCAUCAGAGAAGGGGUACAUGACUGGUCAUUUGUUUUUACAGAAGAGAUGAAAGAAACACAGACAAUGUAUUCAUGGAACCUUUUCAUAUAAUUCUAUGUUAAUCUAAAUCAAUGUAUGAUUUCCUAUUCAAUAUUGUCUUGAAGAAUAACCUGACAGUAAAUUCAGUGCUCUGGUUCAUUCAGUUUGCG